This 1065-nucleotide long non-coding RNA is filed under the name Apteryx haastii (Great spotted kiwi). RNAcentral's name for it is "lncRNA (ENSAHAG00000018991.1)". The record is from RNAcentral. Lineage: Eukaryota; Metazoa; Chordata; Aves; Apterygiformes; Apterygidae.
AUGCUCCUGCGGGCUGCUGCCUUCGUCUCGCUGCUCCCCGGGGUGCUGGCAUGGUGCAGCGCGGCAUUGCAUGGCACGGCACGGCACGGCGCGGCACGGCACGGCUGGGCCGGGGCUGUGCCGCCGGGGCUGCGACGUGCAGGCUGCUGCGGCGGGGCCGGGUGUGCGGGGCACCGUGCUGCUGCAGGGGGACCCGGUCCCCAAACGUGCGCGGGGGGGAAUCCCGGGUUUAUGCCCGUGAUCCCUGGGCUGGUGCCCUCGGUGCUGCGCGGCACCGCUGCGGGCAGCUGUGCACACGUGUGCAUGGCCGUGCACACCCAUACACAGCUGUGCACAGCCAUACACAGCCAUGCACAGCCAUACACAGCCAUACACAGCCGUGCACAACCACACACAGCUGUGCACACCUGUGCAAGGCCAUGCACACCCAUACACAGCCAUGCACACCCAUACGCACCCAUACACAGCCAUGCACAACCACACACACAUGUGCACAGCCAGGCACACCCAUGCACAGCCAGGCACACCCAUACACACCCAUGCACACCCAUACACAGCCGUGCACACCUGUGCAAGGCCAUGCACACCCAUACGCACCCAUACACAACCAUGCACACAUGUGCACAGCCAUGCACAGCCAUGCACACCCAUGCACAGCCACACACAUGUGCACACCCAUACACAGCCAGGCACACCCAUACACGCAUGUGCACAGCCAUGCACAGCCAUAAACACCCAUACACAGCCAUGCAUUGUCAUGCACACCCGUGCACGCCUGUGCACACCCGCCAGCACAGCGCAGCCAGCUCAGCCCCCCUCCUCCCCCCCCGCCCCCGCAGGCCCAGCGGAGCCAAGAGCUCCCGCGCUCUCGCUCGGCCCCCGGCACAAACCGCCUCUUGGUUUCCACGAGUGGGACGGAGGAGCCACGCAGGCGCGUGGUCUGGGCUGUGCCGGCACCCAGAGGAGCAUCCUUCGCAGCUCCGGCCAGCCGGGGCGGAGGCGGCAGAGCUGGAGUGGCUGCGCGGGGGYGAGGGAGAGGCGCUGGAGCCACCGGAGCUGCAUUGA